CGGAUUCAUUGGGCGUAAAGGGCGCGUAGGCGGCCUCUUAAGUCGAACGUGAAAUCCCCGGGCUUAACCCGGGAACUGCGUCCGAUACUGGGAGGCUUGAAUUCGGGAGAGGGAUGCGGAAUUCCAGGUGUAGCGGUGAAAUGCGUAGAUAUCUGGAGGAACACCGGUGGCGAAGGCGGCAUCCUGGACCGACAUUGACGCUGAUGCGCGAAAGCCAGGGGAGCAAACGGG
Molecule: ribosomal RNA, 231 nt
Filed under: uncultured bacterium
Lineage: Bacteria
Description: partial 16S ribosomal RNA
Rfam family: Bacterial small subunit ribosomal RNA
Source: RNAcentral